UCUCUGGUACCGGAGGUACCGAGGCUGCAUUACUCUUCCGGGACUGAUGGAGGCAGCAUAUACGUGCGUGUGUAUGAGACGCUCCACAAGAGUUAAAGAAGAGGAAGAACGCCUCACACGAGCACACGGGAAUCUCUCUAAAGUAGUUUCCUAAAGUAGUUUGUCGCUAUCAAACAUAGAAUUUGGCAAAGCUCUUGAAAGACAGAUGCCCCGAUCUCUUUAAAGAAUUCGAGUAUCAGCCAGAGGAGGAUGUACACCAAGAGAGUCAGGAGAAAAGUCAACAAUCAUUAACACAGACAACCUAAACAGAAGCUCUUAAAAGUUUUCUAUAAUGUUGAAAUGUUUUAAUAAAAAAAAAUGUUUAAGUAUAA
Molecule: non-coding RNA, 371 nt
Organism: Misgurnus anguillicaudatus (oriental weatherfish)
Lineage: Eukaryota; Metazoa; Chordata; Actinopteri; Cypriniformes; Cobitidae
Source: RefSeq, a predicted model, not a curated record